AACGAACGCUGGCGGCAUGCCUAACACAUGCAAGUCGAACGAGACCUUCGGGUCUAGUGGCGCACGGGUGCGUAACGCGUGGGAACCUGCCCUUAGGUUCGGAAUAACUCCCCGAAAGGGGUGCUAAUACCGGAUAAUGUCUUCGGACCAAAGAUUUAUCGCCUUUGGAUGGGCCCGCGUGGGAUUAGCUAGUUGGUAGGGUAAAAGCCUACCAAGGCGACAAUCCAUAGCUGGUCUGAGAGGAUGAUCAGCCACACUGGGACUGAGACACGGCCCAGACUCCUCCGCGAGGCAGCAGUGGGGAAUAUUGGACAAUGGGCGGAAGCCUGAUCCAGCACUGCCGCGUGAGUGAUGAAAGCCUUAAGGUUGUAAAGCUCUUUUACCCGGGAUGAUAAUGACAGUACCGGGAGAAUAAGCCCCGGCUAACUACGUG
RNAcentral lists this ribosomal RNA (433 nucleotides) under uncultured bacterium. RNAcentral describes it as "partial 16S ribosomal RNA". It matches the Rfam family "Bacterial small subunit ribosomal RNA", at positions 29 to 507 of the family's 1533-position model. The record is from RNAcentral.